Molecule: long non-coding RNA, 1376 nt
Organism: Prinia subflava (tawny-flanked prinia)
Lineage: Eukaryota; Metazoa; Chordata; Aves; Passeriformes; Cisticolidae
Exons: 2
Source: RefSeq, a predicted model, not a curated record
GUUGUGGGAAUUACUUUGCUUUUGAAGCUCUGGCUAGCUUGGUGGCAAGCAGCUAGCAACCUUUUAGCUACAUUUGAUACUAUGUCUACUGCUUAGAGAAAGUGCUUACCAGGAAGAGAGACAUUUGGAAACCCUGUACUGGCAUCUACUAAGUUCCACCACUGCUACAAAGAAUAGCUGGGUUUGGAUUAGAAUCUAGGUGACCUCAGGAAAUGAUAAGAGCAUGAUAGUGGUGUGGCUUGGCUAGAUGAAGAGAUAUUCCUCCUCUCACUGCACCCACCAGCCAUGGUCAAGCUUAGCCUCUGCCUACAAAUGAUUGCAUCAUUGUCGUGGUUUGAAGGGAAGUGAGUUUUUUUGGAAGUAGUGGUCAAACCAAUCAGUCCUUAGGUCUGAGUAUUGGCACCUUUGUUGGCCACUAAGAGGUUGGACACGCCUCUGAGGACACGAGGGGUUAAAAGCCGGAUUUCCCAGCAGGACUCUCUUUUUCCCUGCUCUGCUUUCGGAGAGGGAGUGUCUUCUCCUCUCCCCUGCCCAGGCCUGGCUAGGCUGGGUGGGGGAGGGGAGCAAGGUGGGCCUGGCUGAGCAAGGCAGAAGAGAGUUAUCCCUGGACGCUGAAUUCUCAUAGUUGGUGGUUUUAGAAGAGAGAGGACAGCCUGGGACCGAGAGGGUAAUGUGAGAUGAAAAGAAGCCCCUUCGAUUGCCGGAAUGAAGAGGAGUGGCCUAUUAGGCCGGACUUUUCCUGCAUAAUGAUAGCCAUAGACGGACCCUGGACCCUCCUGACUAUAAAUAAGACUGUGUUUGGGUGGAUGUUUUUGGCUCAAACCCAGAGACGUUCUGGCCUGCUUCUUGGAGCCCCCGGCCCCAGGGGUAAAUGGGGGGGACCUGAGUCCCAAAAUGAGAAGAUGGCUGGUUUUUGGUACUUGGCCAAAACAUCCUUAAAAAGAGCCCUGUUGCAGUUCAGGUCCAUGGACGGCAGUGAGAGUGCUGGACAUGGAAAGGAGGGUGUCACCCUGGCAGACUCUUCGAGGCAGUGCCAUGGGUGACGUGGGAACACGGGAUGGUGGACCUGUGUUUCCUGUGGGGGGGGGUCUGUGGUGCGAGAGAGACUCCUCUCGUCCUGGAUGGAAUGUGGAUUGUCUGAAUUUUAAAGGAUGAUGAUUUGGAUUAGGAACCCAGGGUUGUUGAGGGAUUAAGCAAGUAGAUGAAGGUAAUGUGCUGGAGUCAACUGAGUGAGCAUGUAUGGAAUGGAAAUUGGGGGGAGGAGAAGCAGUGUUUUUGGGAGGUUUUCUCUUCUGCUUUUGGGUGGCUGGGUUUUUCUUUCCUUUUCUAUUGUCCAUUGUUAUGUAGUAUAAUAAAUUGUCUGUCUGUUUCAAGUA